Molecule: ribosomal RNA, 760 nt
Filed under: Halomonas sp. D37.1
Lineage: Bacteria; Pseudomonadati; Pseudomonadota; Gammaproteobacteria; Oceanospirillales; Halomonadaceae
Description: bacterial SSU rRNA
Rfam family: Bacterial small subunit ribosomal RNA
Source: RNAcentral
UUGAACGCUGCCGGCAGGCCUAACACAUGCAAGUCGAGCGGAAACGAUGGAAGCUUGCUUCCAGGCGUCGAGCGGCGGACGGGUGAGUAAUGCAUAGGAAUCUGCCCGAUAGUGGGGGAUAACCUGGGGAAACCCAGGCUAAUACCGCAUACGUCCUACGGGAGAAAGCAGGGGAUCUUCGGACCUUGCGCUAUCGGAUGAGCCUAUGUCGGAUUAGCUAGUUGGUGAGGUAACGGCUCACCAAGGCCGCGAUCCGUAGCUGGUCUGAGAGGAUGAUCAGCCACAUCGGGACUGAGACACGGCCCGAACUCCUACGGGAGGCAGCAGUGGGGAAUAUUGGACAAUGGGCGAAAGCCUGAUCCAGCCAUGCCGCGUGUGUGAAGAAGGCUUUCGGGUUGUAAAGCACUUUCAGUGGGGAAGAAAUCCUCGGGGCCAAUACCCUCGAGGGAGGACAUCACCCACAGAAGAAGCACCGGCUAACUCCGUGCCAGCAGCCGCGGUAAUACGGAGGGUGCGAGCGUUAAUCGGAAUUACUGGGCGUAAAGCGCGCGUAGGCGGCGUGAUAAGCCGGUUGUGAAAGCCCCGGGCUCAACCUGGGAACGGCAUCCGGAACUGUCAGGCUAGAGUGCAGGAGAGGAAGGUAGAAUUCCCGGUGUAGCGGUGAAAUGCGUANAGAUCGGGAGGAAUACCAGUGGCGAAGGCGGCCUUCUGGACUGACACUGACGCUGAGGUGCGAAANGCGUGGGUAGCAAACAGGAUU